This 186-nucleotide small nuclear RNA is filed under the name Aureobasidium melanogenum CBS 110374. RNAcentral's name for it is "U2 spliceosomal RNA". It matches the Rfam family "U2 spliceosomal RNA". From Rfam's summary of the family: U2 is a small nuclear RNA (snRNA) component of the spliceosome (involved in pre-mRNA splicing). Complementary binding between U2 snRNA (in an area lying towards the 5' end but 3' to hairpin I) and the branchpoint sequence (BPS) of the intron results the bulging out of an unpaired adenosine, on the BPS, which initiates a nucleophilic attack at the intronic 5' splice site, thus starting the first of two transesterification reactions that mediate splicing. The record is from Rfam by way of RNAcentral. Lineage: Eukaryota; Fungi; Ascomycota; Dothideomycetes; Dothideales; Saccotheciaceae.
CUAACUUCGCUACAGGAUCAAGUGUAGUAUCUGUUCUUCAUAGUUUAAUCGCUGUGACCGGUCUACGGACCGUCUCUCAUGAUUAUUCUACUUUUUGGAACUGGCUGGGAGAUGCUCUGGGCUUGCUCAUCAUCUUCUGGCACAGUGUCGCUCGUAUUGCACUACUUCGGGCUGACGCGAAUCACU